GUUCUUGGCUCAUUCUCUUUUUAGACCUGGUCAUGAUCUUGUUAUUCCUCCGGCUCUUGGACCUCCAGGAGGCGAUGUCUGGUUCGAUUGCCCUUACAUGCUCCGGCCCGGAGGAAGUACCUAAUCUCAUUUGAAGCCUAUUCUACUGUCUCCUCAUCCUACUCUUUUGAUUAUUCUGUGAUAGCCAAAUACUUGACAACAAAAACAUCUGACAAGUUCUUCUUUGCGUUCGGCUGUGAGCCUGGAGCACGCAAUUCAAAGAAGAAUACAACCUUUGUGGUAAUGAAACCACUCGAUCUGUGAUACUUAAAGACUCGACUUUUGCUCUCAUAACUCCUCCGGUGAAUUCUUCGUUUGUGUCAACGCCUUUGUUCC
This 375-nucleotide long non-coding RNA is filed under the name Bemisia tabaci. RNAcentral describes it as "lncRNA ENSSSA3NGG000841". The record is from RNAcentral. Lineage: Eukaryota; Metazoa; Arthropoda; Insecta; Hemiptera; Aleyrodidae.